This 443-nucleotide ribosomal RNA is filed under the name uncultured Leptolinea sp. Its description in RNAcentral is "bacterial SSU rRNA". It matches the Rfam family "Bacterial small subunit ribosomal RNA", at positions 923 to 1382 of the family's 1533-position model. Lineage: Bacteria; Bacillati; Chloroflexota; Anaerolineae; Anaerolineales; Anaerolineaceae. The record is from RNAcentral.
GCACAAGCAGCGGAGCGUGUGGUUUAAUUCGAGGCUACACGAAGAACCUUACCAGGGUUUGACAUGCAAGUGGUAGGAAUCCGAAAGGUGACCGACCUUCGGGAGCUUGCACAGGUGCUGCAUGGCUGUCGUCAGCUCGUGUCGUGAGAUGUUCGGUUAAGUCCGCUAACGAGCGCAACCCUCGUCGUGUGUUAUACGUGUCACACGAUACUGCCGGUAUCAAGCCGGAGGAAGGUGGGAUGAUGUCAAGUCAGCAUGGCCUUUAUAUCCUGGGCUACACACACGCUACAAUGGCAGAUACAAUAGGUUGCGAAACCGCGAGGUGGAGCCAAUCCUCAAAGUCUGUCUCAGUUCAGAUUGUAGGCUGCAACUCGCCUGUAUGAAGUUGGAGUUGCUAGUAAACGCAGGUCAGCUAUACUGCGUUGAAUACGUUCCCGGGGUUU